Non-coding RNA from Labeo rohita (rohu), 630 nucleotides. NCBI's taxonomy places the organism in Eukaryota, Metazoa, Chordata, Actinopteri, Cypriniformes, Cyprinidae. The record is from the annotation of a RefSeq genome assembly.
AUGGCGUUUGUGUUGUCGAUGUGCUUGCAGCCCCCACCCCCACCAGACCACGAGGCUCCAGCCUCAACGCCCAACUCAACUCAACUCGCCACUUUACCCAGUUGCACAAUUGAACCUGUGACCCCGGCAGGCACCCCCCCAUCAUCCCGACCCCCACCCCAGAGAGUCCUCACUGCACGCUACCACCACCCUGAGACCAAGCCACCUAGAGGCGGUGGCCUCCACCCACAAGCUGCGACUCGUCCCACUCUCACGGUGCUGCCACCCUCCAGAGAGGAGCUGCAGCAGGGUAAGGCUACAGUGCUGUGUGUGGCCAGUAAAGGAUUCCCCUCUGACUGGAAGCUGAGCUGGAAGGUGAAUGGCUGCAGCAGGAGCUCUGGUGUCAAUCUGAGUCCCAGUCAGCUGCAGAAUGAUGGACUGUACAGCUGGAGCAGCAGCCUGAGCCUCACUGAGAGUGAGUGGAGCAGAGCAACAACCAUCAGCUGUGACGCUACUCACCCGUCCCACAAUGCAGUGACCAAAAGCCUCAACACACAGCAGUGCGAUGAUGACCAGUGAAAUACACACAUUGGCACACUGACCUAAAUCAGCCACAGCUCAACAACCAAUCUUUUUAGGCUGUUAGUGUAU